ACCGGAAGCAGCAACUCGUGAGUUAAACUCAAAACCCGCCUCCAGCGAUGAACUUCCUUUAUCAAGGCUGCACAUCCUAAAGUGACACCACCAACUGUGACCCAGUGCCAAGAAGCCUGAGUCAGUGGGGACACUUUCUCACUCAAAGCCCCUAAAACCACCUCAUCCCCUUUGAUGGGGCUGGAAAUCAAGCACAUUGUACAUGCCGCCGGAUCUGGAAACAGGUUCAGCUCUGGAGGAAGCAGGUCGCACACCUUCCCUGCGUCUUCUGGGGACAGGACCGAGGCACUGAUGAAGCAGCGCGAGCAAGUAGAGGCUGUUAUGUUUAAAUAAGCUGUUAGUAUUGACUAACAGAGGCUACUGCGGGUGGGAGGACAAAGCCUUGCAGCCGAGAGCCACGGCAGAGACUUCAACCAGGAGCUGCUAAUGAGAGCUAGCGAGGCGCCCGCUUCGUCUUCCUGGAAAAGAAACCAGCAUCAGCGGCGGCUGUGCCUGGCCAUGCCCUCCUCAUCCCUGCCAGUCCCCACACAUCAUCAGGGGAGGUCAGAGAAGGUGAAGGGGCCAAAGACCCCGGGCUUUCGGUGGCAGAGAUGGUGGCUAUUUACUGGUAAUCAGGAACAUUUUCUGUUAAAUAUGGAUACCUGGUGUGACCACCACUGUAAGUGUCUCUGCUUCCAGAGGGAGCUCCAAGACACACAAACAGAUCCUGAUGCAUGGGGCUCCUCCAGGGUGACUGCAACACACACACACACACACACACACACAAUGCAAGUGUGCAGAUGAGCGUGCAUGUGUGCAUGCACGCACGCAGGCACUCAGGCAUGUAUGCAGACAGAAAUACACACACACAGACGCAUACACACACAAAUGCAAAAACAGGCACACACAUACAAAAGCAUAUACAGGUACAUACACAUACAAUGUGAGUGCCCAGAUGUGCAUGCAUGCAUGCAUGCAUGCGUGAACUCAGGCACACACACACACACACACACACACACACACACACACACACAGAGAGAGAGAGAGAGAGAGAGAGAGAAAAAGAGAGAGAGAGAGAGAGAGAGGUUUGCUCCUGAUUAUUCUGGGCCUCCCCACGGGUAAAACGAGACUGUGCUAUUGAGCUCAUCCCCAGCACCUUGUAGAUGCAGAGGAGAGGAUCAGGACUUGAAACUCGUCAAUCCUCUGCUCUGAGCAGCUUCACCACAGUGGGCCCACUAACCAAGCAGUACAGCGAGCCUAGGUCUCCUCGCUAACCUGUUCCUCGUCUGAAUAAUACUGCGUGUGAUCUAGAGGGCCCUAGUGUGGGGCAGGGCUUGGGAGGAACUGAAGACACAGAUUAUUUAAAAACUG
This is a non-coding RNA of Rattus norvegicus (Norway rat), 1350 nucleotides long. NCBI's taxonomy places the organism in Eukaryota, Metazoa, Chordata, Mammalia, Rodentia, Muridae. The record is from RefSeq and is a predicted model, not a curated record.